Molecule: ribosomal RNA, 253 nt
Filed under: uncultured bacterium
Lineage: Bacteria
Description: partial 16S ribosomal RNA
Rfam family: Bacterial small subunit ribosomal RNA
Source: RNAcentral
UACAGAGGUGCCGAGCGUUAGGCGGAAUCACUGGGCUUAAAGCGCGUGUAGGUGGAUCGUUAAGUGUCUUGUGAAAUCCCUCGGCUCAACCGAGGAAGUGCAUUCGAAACUAUCUAGCUUGAGGAUGGCAGAGGAAGGUGGAAUUCCUAGUGUAGAGGUGAAAUUCGUAGAUAUUAGGAGGAAUACCGGUGGCGAAGGCGGCCUUCUGGACCAUUCCUGACACUGAGACGCGAAAGCGUGGGUAGCAAACAGG